Molecule: long non-coding RNA, 2587 nt
Filed under: Nicotiana benthamiana
Lineage: Eukaryota; Viridiplantae; Streptophyta; Magnoliopsida; Solanales; Solanaceae
Description: long non-coding RNA (NBEN_LNC025850)
Source: RNAcentral
UUGACACAAGUGAAUAAUGCAUACUGUAAAGAACUCACACUCAAACGCCAUUUGUUAAUCCACAUCGACCCACAGGUUAAAGAAGAAAAAAAUAGAGCGAGUCUGAGUUGCGACUGCAACAAUGGUUAAAAAGAGGAGCGAUAAAGAAUAAAAAAUAAAAGGUGUGAUAAAGAUGAUUGAAAUGCCAAUAUAUGUUCAAAGGGCAGGAUGACUAACAAAUGGUGUUGCUGGGCAGAAAGCUAACCAUCAUCUUGUUGAAUGAAUCUUGCAGCAAAAACGAUUUCCCUUUGUUUGUAUACCUUAUUUUCUCUAAUCCCUGCACAAGGAAAAAGUAAAUAUCUAUUUCAAACUCACAAAAAGCGCAUAUCAUCACCCUGCAAAUGCUUUAAGAAAUGGAAGGAGAACCCUUUGACGUCACAAAGAAAAAGUAAAAAUCUAUUUCAAACUCAUAAAAGGUGUAUAUCAUCACCCUGCAUAUUCUUUAAGAACCGGAAGGAAAAUCCUUUAAAGUCAUGAGGCUUGAAAGAGAACACAACUUCUGUAGUUUGUUUGAACCUGCCAAUUCAAAUGCCUAUUACUUCAAUAUCCUCCGUUAGGAACAAUGGAUUCAACCCCUGCUUAGACAUCAUGUGCCUAGAAGAGACACAUAACGAAUAAGAUAUUAAAGGUAAUAACAACUUGACUUAUGGCUGCUGAAAUCUUGAUUAAGGAAAUCAUAUAAAUAUACUAAGACUCACGAUAUGUUGGAACAAAAUACCUCAUCUAAUAUUAAGUUAUUCUAACAACCAAGUAAAUCAUCGCCAUCAAUCGUUUUGACAGUAAGCUGCGGAGGAUGUACCACUUUAGUUACGGGUUCAAUUGUACCUAUAACUUUCGAAGCGAAUUAUAAAUUAUGUGUGUAACGUCACUAACAUUGCAAUAGAUAGUAGACAUGAACCCAUAAUUAUACAAAUAUUGCAACGCAAUGGGCAAUCCUAAAUAGUAGGUUUAAGGAAAAAAAUUAAGCAUCAGCAAGAAAACAAAACAAAUUGCAACACAACGGGCAAUCUUUCAACUUGCAAUUCCCCCCUUUUUUUUUCUUUCUCUAAAGAAGGUCAAAUUGGUAACAAAGUCAUAUAUUCUAAGAUAAUUGCAAGCUCUCUUUAUAGAAGUAAUUGCCUUUAAGGUUUUAAAGGAUUUAUAGAAAAGAACUUUAGCAAGACAAAGAGAAAAAGAUAUCAACAUGUCUUCUUCGGUUUUUCAUUCUCACCCGUCUUUUCUCAAAUAGGUGAAAUAAUAGAAAGAUUGUAAAGAUAGGAAGGAUAAAAGAUAUUUAGAAAAUUCAAAUCUUAAAAGUAAGGAAGAAUAUGUAAUAAUAAUAGAAACUUACCUGAAAAGGAAUGUGCCCUUGUUUCUUAUGUCACCAUUUAUUUUCUGCAAUUAACAAAAGGCCAAAAAAGUUAAAAUCUGCAUUCAGUUGAGUAUAAAAGUAUGCAGUCGGCUUUUUAAUGUAAAUAUUUCAAUCAAUUGAGUAGUAAAUCAUAUUGAAGAUGUAGAUAUGUUGUUUAGUAGUUUCGUUUUCGUAUUAAAGACUGGGAUUAGUAAUCUACAAUGUCAUACACGAUAGCACACAAAUGUAUGACAUAACUUAUAGUAAUACAAUAGAGUUUCACUCUACUUUCUUUAUUUUUACUGUGUCCAUAACAUGUUUCUAAAUUUUGGGAGUAUCAUAAGGAGAAACCAUAUUUUGCUCAUUGCAGAAUAUUAUCCAUAAUCAAUCAACUGGAGUUAAAAUUUUAAAUUCAGGAAAUUUGUUGAAAAAGCUAAGUAUAUAGAGAAUAAUAACUGAAUUGAAGAAGUCUAUAUCUCAUAUGAUACGUAAUGUUUUUUACGUAUACCCAAUAAUACUUGGGAGCACAAGGAUCACCGACACCUAAUAAAGAGAAAAUAUAAAUAGCUUUUUCUAAGAAAUUCAACUUUUUUCUACAUACAAGAAAGCUACUGUAUUGAAGAAGAAGAAGAACCAUUGCACGAACCUUUCAUGUUCUUAAUAAUAUUGUUGACUCUUCUAUUGCAUCCAUCAAAGUCUAUUUACAAGUUUGUUUCAAUCUAGGAAAAAGAAUUUUUGAACAAUAGAAAGAUAUAAAUCGAGAAUGGGCAAAGAAAAAAAAACCAGCACGAAGGAUAGUAGAUUUAAAAACCAGGAAAUAAUUUGCAGAACCUUUUACCGAAUCAUAUGUAUGUAAAUUAGAAGCUGCUAAUAUAAUAACUGGACUAAGGAAGAUAAGCCUCAACUUUGAGAGUGAAAGCUUGUAGUAAAAUCCCAAAAAUAACUAAUAAUACCUGAUUAUUAGGAUAUACUCCUUUAAAACAUAAAGUUUUCAAAAGCAAUAUACGUUUUAGUUGUUGAUCAAAGUAAGAAUACAAAGUUACCAACUUCAAAAUCACCUAACUGAAUCCCAAUUCAAUCACAGGUGCUACAAUUCUGAGGAUUAGUGUGAUUGAUGAGAUUAAGAAUUGAUAUAAUCUGAUUUGGUAGAUGUGCCUGCUAUUAGGGCUGUAACCUCUGUUAUUUGAAAUCUUCAAUUCACUGCAAAAUGGAACUUUG